RNAcentral lists this ribosomal RNA (381 nucleotides) under uncultured bacterium. RNAcentral's name for it is "bacterial SSU rRNA". It matches the Rfam family "Bacterial small subunit ribosomal RNA", at positions 32 to 400 of the family's 1533-position model. The record is from RNAcentral.
AAUCAACGCUGGCGGCGUGCCUCAGACAUGCAAGUCGAACGAUUAAACUUUCCUUCGGGGAAGAAAUAAAGUGGCGCACGGGUGAGUAACACCGUAGGUAAUCUACCUUUGAGUGGGGAAUAACUUAGGGAAACUUAAGCUAAUACCCGCAUAAUGCAGCGGCAUCGCAAAGAUGACAGUUGUUAAAGGAGCAAUCCGCUUAAAGAGGAGCCUGCGGCAGAUUAGCUAGUUGGAAGGUAACGGCUUACCAAGGCAACGAUCUGUAACCGACCUGAGAGGGUGGUCGGUCACACUGACACUGAAUAACGGGUCAGGACUCCUACGGGAGGCAGCAGUCGGGAAUUUUGGGCAAUGGGCGAAAGCCUGACCCAGCAACGCCGC